Long non-coding RNA from Erigeron canadensis, 738 nucleotides. RefSeq lists it as uncharacterized. The transcript has 2 exons. The record is from RefSeq and is a predicted model, not a curated record. Lineage: Eukaryota; Viridiplantae; Streptophyta; Magnoliopsida; Asterales; Asteraceae.
UUUGUUCUCACAAAUGCACCAAACCCUUUUCAAAUUUUAUAUUUAUCUCUUUUUUUUUUUUCUUUUCUCUCUAAUACAACAAAUCCCAUCCACCAUGGACAAAUAGCAGAAAGUAAUCAAAAUGACUGACUUUUCUUUUGCUCCUAGGUCUAUUAUUGCAUCUAGAUUUCAAAAUUAUUACACCCAUGUUAUCCUUCUUUAUUUUUGUCAUACAAUUCCAAUCCCUUGACAGACAUCACAUUCUCUAAUAGAUCUACAUGACAGCCAGCCAUGACGACUUUUCUCCGGUUACGGCCCGAUGGAAAAAAAGGUGGAUUUACCAGGAGAUGUCACUAAGAUUUGUGUAUUUGUUAAUUUCUUUAUCAAAAGACAUCUUCUGUUGUAUGAUGAUGAUGAAAGACAAAUGAUGACGAAGAUGAAGUAACAAAUAUGAUAGAUGAGCACAUAUGAGCAUGGAUGAUGAUUCCAUCAAGUUCUUCCAACUUGAUUAGUCAAGUUGGGAGGAUCUUAACCCUUGAUUGAAAAUCAAGGGCUAAGAUUCAAUCAUUAACUUUAAAUCUUGGCAUUUUCAAUUAAGGGUCAAGAUCUUCCCAACUUGAACUUGAGAGAAUCCCCUUCCUAUGAGCAUGUCUAUUUCAUAGUCACAUGUAUGCAAGUUGGGCGUAUAUGUAUGAACAAUGCUACGGCGUAUGUAUUCAAGUAUAUCAUGUAAAUAAAUAUAUUACGGGAUUGGUUGGA